Molecule: long non-coding RNA, 246 nt
Filed under: Elaeis guineensis (African oil palm)
Lineage: Eukaryota; Viridiplantae; Streptophyta; Magnoliopsida; Arecales; Arecaceae
Description: long non-coding RNA (EGUI_LNC020740)
Source: RNAcentral
GGCCGGUUAAUGCGUUGACUUGUUUGGCCCAGAUUUCUGGGCUUAUUUGAAAAGAUGAGAAAUUUUUUAUGCACUGCGGGCAGUGUAAAAAAUCCAACAUGAAGCAUACUGUCUUAUCCAAUUAGUCUACGUAGUUAUCAUUUUUCAACACAUAUUUAAUACUUGUAGGUCGAUUUUUUCGUUUAAAAAUUUUGUACGAUGAAAAUAUUUCUAAUCUUUGAAAAAAAUUAUGAUAUGCUGUGACAU